RNAcentral lists this ribosomal RNA (253 nucleotides) under uncultured bacterium. RNAcentral's name for it is "partial 16S ribosomal RNA". It matches the Rfam family "Bacterial small subunit ribosomal RNA", at positions 524 to 776 of the family's 1533-position model. The record is from RNAcentral.
GACGAACCGAGCGAACGUUGUUCGGAAUCACUGGGCUUAAAGGGCGCGUAGGCGGGCUGUCAAGUCUGGGGUGAAAUCCCACGGCUCAACCGUGGAACUGCUGGGCAUACUGGACAUCUCGAGGCACUCAGGGGCGAGCGGAACAAGUGGUGGAGCGGUGAAAUGCGUAGAUAUCACUUGGAACGCCAAUGGUGAAGACAGCUCGCUGGGGGUGUCCUGACGCUGAGGCGCGAAAGCCAGGGGAGCGAACGGG